RNAcentral lists this unclassified non-coding RNA (684 nucleotides) under Hevea brasiliensis (rubber tree). Lineage: Eukaryota; Viridiplantae; Streptophyta; Magnoliopsida; Malpighiales; Euphorbiaceae. The record is from RNAcentral.
UCUAUAUCCAGAGCCGCGUUUUCCUUUCUAUGUAUAUUCCCUAUUGCCUAAUGCCACACCAUUUUGGAUUGAUUGACGCAGGCCUUCUCAUCACCUCAAAAUAAGCUAAGGCUCUCAUUCUCUUUGGCUGUCUUUGUUUGCCAUCACCGAAUCUAGGAUUAGUAUAUAAAAAACCCUCUUCUUUUUCUUUUUAACCAUCUUCUUCCCUUUUCUUGGUUGCUGUGGGAUAAAACACCAAGAUUUCUACAACAUAAAUAUGUGUCCUCUGAGGUUUAUCUUGGUGUUUUUCUCAGCAGUUUUGGCUGGAUACUUUGCAUGGAGGUCUGUGCGGUCGUCGCCGGAGAUUGAAAGCAUGAAUUCCGAUGAUUCAACAGUUAAAAGGAAACCAUUGAAUCACAAACAAGAAUUCACUGUGAAGAAGAUGGUUCAAAAUGGAUUCUGGGUAUUUGUCGACAUGGCCAGUGGAAAGUACCUGUGGAGGAAUCUGAAGGAGAUGAGGAAAGAUGAGAAAGUUAAGAGCUGCUAGAUUUUUUUUUUUUUUAAUCAAACCUUUUUUUCCCUUUCGCCAUUCUACCCCCCUGUGGGGAAGGAGGAGAAAUUGGAAUUUGAGGGCAGGGCAGGUACGGUACAGAUAUCACAUGCUGCAAAUGUAAUUCAGUUGAGAAUCCUUCUGAGAAUCUGAGG